RNAcentral lists this ribosomal RNA (2904 nucleotides) under Aerococcus mictus. RNAcentral's name for it is "23S ribosomal RNA". It matches the Rfam family "Bacterial large subunit ribosomal RNA". Lineage: Bacteria; Bacillati; Bacillota; Bacilli; Lactobacillales; Aerococcaceae. The record is from RNAcentral.
GGUUAAGUGAAUAAGGGCGUACGGUGAAUGCCUUGGCACUAGGAGCCGAUGAAGGACGGGACGAACACCGAUAUGCUUCGGGGAGCUGUAAGUAAGCUUUGAUCCGGAGAUUUCCGAAUGGGGGAACCUCAUUGUUUUUAUCGACAAUGGUCCACUCAGUGAACACAUAGCUGAGUGGAAGGUAGACGUGGUGAACUGAAACAUCUCAGUAGCCACAGGAAGAGAAAGAAAAAUCGAUUUCCCGAGUAGCGGCGAGCGAAACGGAAAGAGGCCAAACCAGCGUGCUUGCAUGCUGGGGUUGUAGGACUGAUGGACGGGAGUGAAUGAGCUAGUCGAACGCCAUGGAAAGGGCGAUCAGAGAGGGUGACAAUCCCGUAGGCGAAAGCUCAGCCACCUCAUUCAGUAUCCUGAGUACGGCGGUACACGUGAAAUUCCGUCGGAAUCCGCCAGGACCAUCUGGCAAGCCUAAAUACUCCCUAGUGACCGAUAGUGAACCAGUACCGUGAGGGAAAGGUGAAAAGCACCCCGGAAGGGGAGUGAAAGAGUACCUGAAACCGUAUGCCUACAAGCAGUCAGAGCCCGUUAAGGGGUGAUGGCGUACUUUUUGUAGAACGGACCGGCGAGUGACGAUAGCAAGCAAGGUUAAGCUGAAGAAGCGGAGCCACAGCGAAAGCGAGUCUGAAGAGGGCGUUGAGUUUGUUGUCGUCGACCCGAAACCAAGUGAUCUACUCAUGUCCAGGCUGAAGGUGUGGUAAAACACACUGGAGGGCCGAACCCACGUCUGUUGAAAAAGGCGGGGAUGAGGUGUGGGUAGCGGUGAAAUUCCAAUCGAACUUGGAGAUAGCUGGUUCUCUCCGAAAUAGCUUUAGGGCUAGCCUCGGAUGAUGACUAUUGGAGGUAGAGCACUGUUUGAUCGAGGGGUCCAUCCUGGAUUACCGACAUCUGAUAAACUCCGAAUGCCAAAUAGUUUAGUCCGGGAGUCAGACUGCGAGUGAUAAGAUCCGUAGUCGAAAGGGAAAGAGCCCAGACCACCAGCUAAGGUCCCAAAGUUUCAGUUAAGUGGAAAAGGAUGUGGGGUUGCUUAGACAACUAGGAUGUUGGCUUAGAAGCAGCCAUCAUUGAAAGAGUGCGUAAUAGCUCACUAGUCGAGUGACCCUGCGCCGAAAAUGUACCGGGGCUAAACUGAACACCGAAGCUGUGGAUCCGUAGGAUGGUAGGAGAGCGUUCUAUAGGCAGAGAAGCAUGAUCGUGAGGACAUGUGGAGCGUAUAGAAGUGAGAAUGCCGGUAUGAGUAGCGAAAGACGGGUGAGAAUCCCGUCCACCGAAUGACUAAGGUUUCCUGGGGAAGGCUCGUCCUCCCAGGGUUAGUCGGGACCUAAGCCGAGACCGAAAGGGAUAGGCGAUGGACAACAGGUUGAGAUUCCUGUACUUGUUUGAUUUGUUUGAGCGAUGGAAGGACACAGAAGGCUAAGCGGAGCGCGGAGAUGGAAAAACGCGUCCAAGCAAUAAGUGAGAAGGUGAGUGAAAGGCUUGCCUCAGACUUCAUGAGUUGUGACGGGGAGGGAAAUUUAGUACCGAAGCCGCCGACGUCACGCUGUCAAGAAAAGUUUCUAGUGAGAAUCAAACAACCCGUACCGCAAACCGACACAGGUAGUCGAGUGGAGAACACUAAGGUGAGCGAGCGAACUCUCGUUAAGGAACUCGGCAAAAUGACCCCGUAACUUCGGGAGAAGGGGUGCUGACCGCAAGGUCAGCCGCAGUGAAUAGGCCCAAGCGACUGUUUAUCAAAAACAUAGGUCUCUGCCAAAUCGAAAGAUGAUGUAUAGAGGCUGACGCCUGCCCGGUGCUGGAAGGUUAAGAGGAAGGGUUAGCGUAAGCGAAGCUCUGAAUUGAAGCCCCAGUAAACGGCGGCCGUAACUAUAACGGUCCUAAGGUAGCGAAAUUCCUUGUCAGGUAAGUUCUGACCCGCACGAAAGGCGUAACGAUUUGGGCACUGUCUCAACGAGAAGCUCGGUGAAAUUGUAGUACCAGUGAAGAUGCUGGUUACCCGCGACAGGACGGAAAGACCCCAUGGAGCUUUACUGUAGGUUGAUAUUGAAUGUUUGUGCCACAUGUACAGGAUAGGUAGGAGCCAUCGAAGUCGGGACGCUAGUCUCGAUGGAGGCACUGGUGGGAUACUACCCUUGUGGGAUGACCAUUCUAACCCGCGACCAUUAGCUGGUCGGGAGACAGUGUCAGUCAGGCAGUUUGACUGGGGCGGUCGCCUCCUAAAGUGUAACGGAGGCGCCCAAAGGUUCCCUCAGAAUGGUUGGAAAUCAUUCGCAGAGUGUAAAGGCAGAAGGGAGCUUGACUGCGAGACCUACAAGUCGAGCAGGGACGAAAGUCGGGCUUAGUGAUCCGGUGGUUCCGCAUGGAAGGGCCAUCGCUCAACGGAUAAAAGCUACCCUGGGGAUAACAGGCUUAUCUCCCCCAAGAGUUCACAUCGACGGGGAGGUUUGGCACCUCGAUGUCGGCUCAUCGCAUCCUGGGGCUGAAGUCGGUCCCAAGGGUUGGGCUGUUCGCCCAUUAAAGCGGUACGCGAGCUGGGUUCAGAACGUCGUGAGACAGUUCGGUCCCUAUCCGUCGCGGGCGUUGGAAAUUUGAGAGGAGCUGUCCUUAGUACGAGAGGACCGGGAUGGACACACCGCUGGUGUACCAGUUGUUCCACCAGGAGCAUGGCUGGGUAGCUAUGUGUGGACGGGAUAAGCGCUGAAAGCAUCUAAGCGUGAAGCCCCCCUCAAGAUGAGAUUUCCCAUACUUUUAAAGUAGUAAGACCCCUGAAAGACGAUCAGGUUGAUAGGUUUGGAGUGGAAGCUUAGCAAUAAGUGGAGCGGACAAAUACUAAUCGGUCGAGGACUUAUCCAA